This 69-nucleotide transfer RNA is filed under the name Marmota monax (woodchuck). It matches the Rfam family "tRNA". Rfam says of the family: Transfer RNA (tRNA) molecules are approximately 80 nucleotides in length. Their secondary structure includes four short double-helical elements and three loops (D, anti-codon, and T loops). Lineage: Eukaryota; Metazoa; Chordata; Mammalia; Rodentia; Sciuridae. The record is from Rfam by way of RNAcentral.
GGGGUUUUGGCUCAGUGGUAGAGUGCUUAUCUAGCAUGUAUGAGGCACUAGGUUUGAUCCUUAGCCCCA